Arachis stenosperma is the source of this 3033-nucleotide RNA transcript. It is a transcript of the gene named crossover junction endonuclease MUS81, with no coding region annotated. The transcript has 16 exons. Lineage: Eukaryota; Viridiplantae; Streptophyta; Magnoliopsida; Fabales; Fabaceae. The record is from RefSeq and is a predicted model, not a curated record.
AAAGGAAAAAAAAAAGGAUGGAUCUUCUUAUUUGAUGAUUUGAAAAAAUUCCCUCUCUAACUUGGUAGCCCUCUCACGGCGACAACUUGAGCGGCAGUGGCGGAGAGCUCUCUGUUCCAGUCUUCUGUGCCUCUCUCCUUGCUGCUUUUGUGCACUGUUCUCCUCUGUGCAAACCCGUUCCAACCUAACCGCAUUUUAAGAACUUAACAAGAAUGAAAAACCCGACCGGGGUUCGCUGCGCGGAGAACGAAGAACUGGCGUCAUACAUGGCGAACAAGUGGAAGGAAAUGGCGGAUCAGCCGAAAGGGAUUUCAGAUAACAUAGAGAUGACCCUCUCUAAGGCUCACUUUAACGUAUGUAACUCUAAAAUCCCAAUUCGAACCAUCAAAGAUUUCUCUCAGGUCAAGGGUGUGGGGAAAAUGAUCUUGAAGCUCAUGCAGGGUUUUUUUGGGACUGGUGCAGGAGGUUCUGAAUCAGAAGACUUGAAGAGAAAGGGAAAGAAAAAUAGAGGAAUGAAGCGCUAUGUGCCUCAGAGGAACUCUGUGGCAUAUGCUCUGUUGAUAACCCUUUACAGGAGGACUGUAAGUGGAGAAGAAUUUAUGCGAAAACAAGAACUUAUUGAUGCUGCUGAAGCUAGUGGUCUAUCUCGAGUGCCAAUUGCGCCAGAAAAAGGGAAGGGAAAACCUGGACAAUUUGGAAGUUCUCCUCGCGAUUGGUAUAGUGGAUGGAACUGUAUGAAGACUUUGAUAGAUAAGGGAUUAGUUGUAAAAUCAAGUUGUCCAGCAAAAUACAUGCUAACUGAAGAAGGUAAGGCAGCAGCAUGUGAUUGUCUUUCAAGGUCUGGAAUGGCAGAAUGUCAAGGAAAGUCUGUUUCUGUUGAUACUCCAUCUAAUAUGUCAGAUAGGGAAGUCAAUGGUGAUGAUUUGGAAUCAGAAGUUAUGUCACCAUUGACACAACAAAAGAAGCCAAUGGAUGUUCCUCUUGAAUCUCUUUUGAAGUUCACACGCAUGGGUUUCUCAAAGGAACAAAUUGUUAGUUCUUUUGCUGAAGUUUCCAGAAGCCAUCCAAACGAAGAUGUCUCAUCUUUGUGGCCGGCUGUUUUGUGUCAUCUACGAGAGGAGCAAAUCUAUGGUUCACAUCCAAAGUCUUUGACAGCUAUAAAUGAUUGCCAUGAUACUAGUGCUAAUACUGUUCUAUCUGGUUCCAAAGACCUCAUUGGAAACAAGAGCAGAACUGCAAGUUCAGCCUGCAAUGACCAUGUGCCAAAUUUCUCUUCUGAUAUUCCAUCUUUCCCCUUGAGAGCUUGCCCAUCAGCUGUUGAUUCUGUGCAAAUGCCAAGGAAGGAUGAGCUGUCAUCAAAGAUGACCAGUUUAAGUGUUCCACCCUUGAGCUUUGGUGAGAAAUUUGAGGAGGUAUAUCAAGUGAUUUUAAUAUUGGAUGAUCGGGAGCAAUUUGCCACUCAAGGAUCUCGAUCUAGGAAAAUUAUUGAGGAAAUUCGGAUCCAAUUCAAAAUCCAAAUAGAGGUACGACGAUUGCCUGUUGGAGAUGGGAUCUGGAUAGCACGUCAUAAAAUUCUUAAGACUGAAUAUGUAUUGGAUUUUAUUGUUGAGAGGAAAAACAUUGAUGAUUUGCGCAGUUCAAUCAGGGAUAACCGCUACAAGGAUCAAAAACUAAGGCUUCUGAGGUGUGGAUUGAAGAAGCUGAUAUAUUUAGUGGAAGGUGACCCAAAUUCUUCCGAAGCUGCUGAAUGCAUAAAAACUGCCUGUUUUACAACAGAGAUUCUGGAGGGAUUUGAUGUGCAGAGGACGAGUGGUUUAGGUGAUACUCUCAGGAAGUAUGCUUAUCUUACCCAAGCAAUUUCUCAAUGUUACAAGUCAAGAGUUUUUGAAGGCCAUGUUGUAGGUUUUGCACCAUGUCCUCCUUUCGAUGAAUUUAUUAAACAGUGUCAAGACUCUGGAAAAAUGACAGUUAGUGAUGUAUUUGCCAUCCAACUUAUGCAGUGAACCGUGAGACUGAGGAAGAUAUGAGUAGGGGAAGAAGAGGGAUUUGGAACCUUGGCCUUCUACCAUGGAGGUGGGAAGCCAGGAAAACAUGAGUUCGCAUGAGGUAUUAGGAAGAAGGGGAACGGGAGCGGUAUCUAAGAGUGGUAUAUAGGAAGUCUUUGACAGCCUUGGUUAUAUAUAUUUCUUUCCCGUAGGUAUAUAUGCAUAACUCACCUAGUGGGAAAAUGCUUUUUAUUGAUGUCUUGAUAAAUAGAUGAAUAGAUGAAUAACACAAGACAGAGGAUUAGAGUUCCUCUAUACAUUAACAACAGAACCACCGAAAAGUGUUAUCUGUAAAGUAUUGCAUAGGUAUAAAAUUGGGAUCUGCAUAAAAUUGUCUGGUUUAGCUAUUUCUUCACUCGUGUUCGUGUAACAAGCUAUGAAGCAUGAUCGCUGACACAACACAGGAUACACAAACACGAAUUUGAAUUUUUGGAGACACGGUGACACGAUAUAUAUAAAAUAUAAAGUAUUUUUUAAAUAAAUCAUAACAAUAUCUUGAUAUUCUAUUAAUAUUAAAGCACAAAUUAAUUUUUUAAAAUGUUUUUAAUCUCUUUUUCAAUUAUGUAAUUGAUAAAUAAUAAUAUAUAUGAUAUCUAAACUCAUUUCAAGAAUAUAGAUUAAGAAUAGUAUUAGACACGCGGACAAGUGAUAGUAUUUAGGUGUGUUUAGAGGUUUUUGGAGAAGUAUUUUUUAUUUUUUAUUAAGACAGUUACGCACAGAAGACACACAUGUCAAAGGAGCGUCGUGUCCGAAAUGUGUUUGACACGCAAACAUAGCAACUUAACAAAGUGUCUUGUGCUUUACAGGUUCCACAGGUUACAGAGGAGGUUGCCAUGGCGGUUUUAGAUUUGUACCCCACACUUUUAUCUCUUGCUCAUGGCUACUCACUACUCGACGGUAAUUCUUGUGCCCAAGAGGACAUGCUUCGAGCACGGAGUAACAAUAUAAUCCCUGCGGCUGCUAGCAGGAACAUUUUCCAGUUUAUUUG